CGGGGCGUGGCGCAGCCCGGUAGCGCGCCUGCUUUGGGAGCAGGAGGUCGCCGGUUCGAAUCCGGCCGCCCCGA
This 74-nucleotide transfer RNA is filed under the name Gammaproteobacteria bacterium. RNAcentral describes it as "tRNA-Pro". It matches the Rfam family "tRNA". Rfam says of the family: Transfer RNA (tRNA) molecules are approximately 80 nucleotides in length. Their secondary structure includes four short double-helical elements and three loops (D, anti-codon, and T loops). The record is from RNAcentral. Lineage: Bacteria; Pseudomonadati; Pseudomonadota; Gammaproteobacteria. RNAcentral also lists the same sequence under 4 other names.